This 449-nucleotide ribosomal RNA is filed under the name uncultured bacterium. Its description in RNAcentral is "bacterial SSU rRNA". It matches the Rfam family "Bacterial small subunit ribosomal RNA", at positions 329 to 792 of the family's 1533-position model. The record is from RNAcentral.
UGCCAGACUCCUACGGGAGGCAGCAGUGGGGGAUAUUGGACAAUGGGGGAAACCCUGAUCCAGCGACGCCGCGUGAGUGAAGAAGUAUUUCGGUAUGUAAAGCUCUGUCAGCAGGGAAGAAAGAAAUGACGGUACCUGACCAAGAAGCCUCGGCUAACUACGUGCCAGCAGCCGCGGUAAUACGUAGGGGGCGAGCGUUAUCCGGAUUCACUGGGUGUAAAGGGAGCGUAGACGGCCAAGCAAGCCAGGGGUGAAAGCCCGGGGCCCAACCCCGGGACUGCCCUUGGAACUGCAUGGCUGGAGUGCGGGAGGGGCAGGCGGAAUUCCUGGUGUAGCGGUGAAAUGCGUAGAUAUCAGGAGGAACACCGGCGGCGAAGGCGGCCUGCUGGACCGCGACUGACGUUGAGGCUCGAAAGCGUGGGGAGCGAACAGGAUUAGAUACCCCCGUA